UCGGGAAUUUUGGGCAAUGGGCGAAAGCCUGACCCAGCAACGCCGCGUGAGGGAUGAAGUAUUUCGGUAUGUAAACCUCGAAAGAAUGGGAGGAAUAAAUGACGGUACCAUUUAUAAGCUCCGGCUAACUACGUGCCAGCAGCCGCGGUAAUACGUAGGGAGCAAGCGUUGUUCGGAUUUACUGGGCGUAAAGGGCGCGUAGGCGGCGCGGUAAGUCACUUGUGAAAUCUCUGAGCUUAACUCAGAACGGCCAAGUGAUACUGCUGUGCUAGAGUGCGGAAGAGGCGACCGGAAUUCUUGGUGUAGCGGUGAAAUGCGUAGAUAUCAAGAGGAACACCUGAGGCGAAGGCGGGUUGCUGGGCCGACACUGACGCUGAUGCGCGAAAGCCAGGGGAGCAAACG
Molecule: ribosomal RNA, 402 nt
Filed under: uncultured bacterium
Lineage: Bacteria
Description: bacterial SSU rRNA
Rfam family: Bacterial small subunit ribosomal RNA
Source: RNAcentral